Molecule: long non-coding RNA, 480 nt
Organism: Bos taurus (domestic cattle)
Lineage: Eukaryota; Metazoa; Chordata; Mammalia; Artiodactyla; Bovidae
Source: Ensembl
GUGUUGGUCUGUGGCUUCUAGGGCUGUGAAAGUUUCUUUAAAUUAGGACAGUGGUACCUCUGGUGGGAGAAGGGAGGAGAGGAAUUGGUGAUACAAUCAUUCAGCAAGAACUGACUGUCUGCCCACCAUGUGCCAUGAUGAAGCUGAGGUUCUGAGGCUUAAACUGGAGACAGCCAUGCAGUACGAUGGAGUCUUUUUUUAAAAAACCUAAAGUGAGCUUCCAUUUAAAAGUUUCUCACAGUCUUUAUCUAGACAAACCCUCAGUUAUUCAGGGAUAAAUUGUCUUUGUGUUGGAAAGGCUCACUUGAGUGGCCCUUCUUGGUCACAGGAGGCAAGCCGGCGAGGGCAACUCAGACAGGGGCCAGGCCUUCCUAGGAUGAAGGGGAAGGAGCCCUUGAUAGUGGGUGAAGAUUGUACGGCUGGAGGAUGAGAUGGUUUCAGCCAUCAGCUAGCAGAGAAAAUCACAAGGGUGCUGAUGGG